AUUAUAGUUGAUUUACAUGUUCUGUCGAGUUCUGCUGUACAGCAGAGUGACCCAGUCAUGAAUGUAUAUACAUUUUCCAUUUCUUAGCCGUAUUUCUCUAUUUGCUACUAGUUUUGGACACAAAGCCUGCGGGUUCACAGGGCCUGGGGCUCACACUCUUUCCUUUCCUGGUCCUGGCUUUGGACCAGCAGGGACAAGUUGUAUCACGGAGGUUGUCGCUCUAACCCCCACAGAGACAAAAUAGUGUGUCUCUCCACCUCCCUGAGCCUCAGGGUUCAGAAUUACGCCCCUUUGAGGGCUGGGAGGUGGUCCUGGUUUCCGGGGGUCUCAGGGGGCAUUGUUGUCACACCCUCCUUCCUGAGCCCCGACCAGGCACUGAUUCCCUGGCUGCUGGUUCUGACCCAGCCAGUCUGCCCAGCAGUAGGUGCACUGGUGUCCCUGGCAGGAAGAGAGUAUCCACGAUGCCUCUCUUCCCGAUGCCAGGGUGAGACCACCGAUGGGGCUGUCGCCCCCGUGGGAACUCGGGACUUGGUCCUGGGGGCCCUGGACUCUGCUUAACCUCCCUGCCAUGUAUAUGAUGAACCACCGAGGACAGGGCAGGGCUUCAGCAUCUGGUUCUUUGGCCUUGAAGCUUUCUUCCAAGCCUCUGCUGCCUCCUCCCUUAACUAACUUUUCUAACCUUGGGGUUGGGGGUCCUUCUGGUCUUAGGUGCUGCCUGAGCUUCCAGGCUCCUUUUCCUUCGAUGAACCUGGGCAUAGCUGCUCCCGAGGACCCUGGGAGCUCCGUUGUCCUUUCCAGGGUGUUUACAGCCUUGAGCUGAGGUUCUGUGCCAGUGACAGGCUGUGGCUUUUCUGUUGACACCAUCUGCCCGGGCCCCCCAGCUUUCCUCGUGCCAUCUUGGUGGAGCGGCCCAGCCUUAGCUGAGAAGUCCCUUUCGAGACCUGGCUGUGUGUCUCCAGAAAACACUGCUGGUCUUCGGGACCAGGUGGCUUCUGUCAUUUGCUUUCUGUCCUUCCUCCCCCAGCGCCUGUUUCUGAUUAGGGGUUUGGUUUCCAGAGGAUUCUGGUCAGGAGACAGGCAGGAGCUACUGAUCUGGCCAAUUGUAUCUGCCAUAUACUUUUCUUCUAGCUUAAAGAUGAUACUUUUUCUUAAAAACUCAGUGUCCAUAGAUACUGAUUUACAAAGUCAUUUUCCACACCUCUCUUACCCGAUAGCAGGGGUCCUGCAGAGAUUGGUGACUUAGGGCUGAGCUCACAGCUUUGCGUGGAACUCGCUCCCGUCUGAGAGACCCCACCCCCUGCAAGCAUCCUGAGGUCUGUGCUGCUCUGAUUAGUCAUUCGUGUUCCCUUGGGGAGGGUUUCCCUGGACCCAGCACUGUCCAUAGGAGGCAGAGGUCCCUAGGAGGUGGAUGGGUGGGUGCCUUCCUUUUGGGGAGCCCUUUGGCAGCUGUGGUCAGGGCACACUCCCGGCCCUGUUUUAGGGGCAAAUGAGGAGUGUAGUGGGCUCAGCAGCAGAGUCCUCCGCUUCCCGUAGGAGCCCAGAUGCAAUCAAUCGCCAGCCUUUGCCGGGGGCUUUGGAGUCCUUGGAGCUGCCAGGGUCUCCUGUGAUCACAUCUCGGUGGGCCGCUGGCCGACCUCUCUGGGCAUCGCUCUACUUCUGCUGUGGGUGGGGUCUACCACCUGACCAGGGCCCUCCAGCCCUCAGCCCUGGAAGUGUGGGGCAGGCCGCCUCCAAUAGGCUCCCCCCACCCCACUCCCCACACUCAGCAGCUCGAGCUGCCACACUCGCUUUGCCCAGGGAGCCCAGCACACAUGCUAUGUGGGUUUGCUCAGACUGCCAGAAUAAAGUUCCACAGGCUGGGCACUGAAAUAAUAGCCAUUUAUUUUUUCGCGGUUCUGGAGGCUGGAUGUUCAAGAUCAGGGUGCUGGCAGGGCCGGUUUGUGCGAAGGCCUCUCUCCUCCUCUUGCAAACAGCCGUCUUCUCCCUGUGUCCUCAGGUGGCUUUCCUUCUGCAUGUGUCUGUGUCCUGAACUCUUCUUAUGAGGACACCAGUCAUGUUGGAUUAGGGCCCAGCCUAGUGACUUCCUUUUACUUGAGUCACUCUUUCAAAGAGCCUGCCUGCACGGCCACAUCCUGAAGUACUGGGGGUUAGGGCGUUAACAUAUGGAUUUGGGGCGGGGGCGACAAUUCAGCUCAUAUUAUGCACUCUUAUUCCUGUCUGAAUCCCCAUGAGUUCUGUCUGUGCCUGUUACUGAACCGUACGGCCUGAUCAAGGGUGUGUGGGAUGUUAAAAAAUAAUAAGAUUUGUGUAAGUUUGGAAUCAAUUGGGGACAUCGGAGAAUUUUUUUGGCCACACCUGUGGCAUGCUGAAGUUCCUGGGCCAGGGAUCAAACCCGAGCCAUAGCAGUGACUCGAGCCACUACAGUGACGAUGCUGGAUCCUUAACCCACUGAGCCACCAGGGAACUCCACAACAUUAUUCUUAAGAGUGGUGUCUUAACAAAAAUAAUGAAUCCAUAUUACACUUAAUUUUUCUUAAUAAGAAUUUUGGGGUUUCCUGGUGGCUCAGCAUGCUAAGGACCCAGUUUUGUCAUUGUUGUGGGCUCUUUUAUUGCCAUGGCACGGAUUUGGUCUCCAGCCCAGGAACUUCUGCAUGCUGUGGCCAUGGCCCAGAGAAGUUGUUUGAAACCCCUCCACAACUCUGCCUUGUAAGAUGUCUCUUAUACAUGUUUGAAAGGUGAGGAAUUCAGAGAGAGGUUGCCCAGGCCACUGGAGUUAUUAGUAUCUGGCAGAGCUGGCGUUUGACCUGGAGUCUGAGUGACUCCUGACUUGUUAGGCCUGCCCAUUGGGGUAACUGCUUCCACUGCCCCUCCACCUCCCUUUUAUUUCUGUGGAGCUGGGAUCUCUGGAGGGGAGUGAGCGUUCAGAGCUGCAGAUCUCUAGGGCUUGGCCCUACCCUGGGGUACCCGCUGGGCUGGGCAGGGCUGCCAGAUACUUAUUCAAACAGUGGCUCUAAUGUCCCCUCCAUCUGGCCUGUGAGCCUCCUCCCAGGGCAGGGAAUUCCAGAAGUGAGUCAGGGCCAGGGCCCCGGGGCCACCUCCCAGGGUCUCUGAAGCAUCCUUUCCGUAACUCUCAGUGGGGCCCAGAUGGGUGCAGGGUGGGGCGGUACCGACAGGCUAGGGGUGUGUGUGUGUGUGUGUGUGUCCCUUAGGGGACCUAGUGAGGCAGACCUUCUGCUCAGUUGCUUGUGUCAGCAGUGCCAGGGACAUAGAAGGGAUUCAAAUUUCUUUUCACUUCAGUGAGGUAGGAGGAGGGACCGACUUGACUCUGUACUGCCUUCCAAUGCCCUGACCUUAAACUUCAGCGUCCCAUCCCCAGCCUCUCUAGUGACACUCCCCCCCUCCCACACCACAUGGCCCCUGGAGAACUUGUGAUGAGAAGCAGCUGAGCUCCUGGAUUAGCCAGGCUUCAGCCAGAUCAAGCAAGAGAUACGUAUGCAGACGUUGAUAGACGUCCACACACACACAGGCACACACGCACAUGGAUACGCAGAUAUGUGUGUAGACAGACAUUCACAGACACGUAAUGCACACAGACACACAUAUACAUAGACACACAUGUAGGCACACACAGCGUACACACACAUGCACAAAUAGAUACGUGUUUUGAAGGGUUUUUGCAGGGCAUUGGUCUUCUGUAUCACGGGGCUGGUUAAACAGCCUCUGUUAUGCUGUCAUCUGUGCAUCUGAUUCUGGAGCUUGAAGCCCACAGGGCGGGCAGGGUCGGGGAGGGAAGAUGGUGAGCUGGAAGCCCAAGAGGAUGGACUGGAGUUGCCCUUGACCUUGGUGGUGUGGGCAUCCUGUGGAAGCUGGGGCCCUAUACCCAGAGUGCUUUAUAUGCUUACCUGGCCCGGGGGUCAGAGGAGGUGAAGGGGGCUUUUGCAGCUGAAGGAGGAUGUGGGGGCAGGGAGCAGCUGUGGCAGGACACUGUGUCACGCUGGCAGUGAGGUGCAAGGAGGACGAGGUGGCCACCACUUCUCUCUUACCCUCCUGCCUUCCACCACUCUUCCUAUGAUUCAUCCUCACCAGAACACCUAAGAAUAUAACUUCUGGAAACCGAGGGCCCGCCUCAGCAAGGUGACACAUCAGACACCCACCCCACCACCGGAGAGUUGGGAGAACUGAUGGCAAGACAGCAGGUUUGGGGAGUCAGAACGAUCUGAAUUUAAGGAAAUGGUCUCAUCUGUGCCUCUUGCAUGAAGAAGGAGUCAUAACGCAAAUGCCCGCUUUGCAGGGGGUUACUGAUUGCGAGGAUUACAGAGAAUCAGGGAUGCCAAGCCUGUCACUUUGCUCCUGGGCCCAGGGCAAGAAAUCUCAGGCCUUUCACAGUUCUUAACACUACCCAGGACCAUAAUAUCACCACAUAAUGAGGUUUCACUCUGUCUGCUCCAUAAAUGCCUCCUUCACCCAGGGCUUGUGUACUCCCUGCAUUAAGUUCAGCCCUAGGAAGCUGAUGUUUCUUCCUGUUACUGUGAAUGAAAUUUAAUUAUGUUUCUAAAUUGGUUAUUGAUGAUAUAAGGUCCCAGAAGGCUGUUAAUAAAUAAUCAUGCUCUGUCUUUAAUGGGAAUUCCUCUGGGGUUUCCUCGUAACUCUGAUCCUGGCUGUGGGUUUUAGAUAGCAUGUAUAUGUUCUCUUUAGCAUUUUCACACCCUUUUUAUGUGUGUUUUUCUGUGUCCUCCUGGAGAGUAUAAGAUUAAGCUGGUCCUGGGGUUCCCUUGUGGCACAGGAAGUUAAGGAUCCGGCAUUGUCAUUGCUGUGGUGUGGGUUCCAUCCCUGACCUGGGAACUUCCGCAUGCCAAGGGU
This 4860-nucleotide long non-coding RNA is filed under the name Sus scrofa (pig). RNAcentral's name for it is "lncRNA (ENSSSCG00045022407.1)". Lineage: Eukaryota; Metazoa; Chordata; Mammalia; Artiodactyla; Suidae. The record is from RNAcentral.